UGGAGCUUGCAGGGGCCGGAUCCGCGCACGGCGGGGGCUUGGAGGCGGAUCCGGAGGUGGGCGGCGACGCGGGGGGCGAGGAAGGCCGGAGCGCGGCUUCCCGGGCGGAUCCAUGGCAGAGAAGAGACUGGGUGGUGAGGUUGAGAAGAAGGGAGAAAAGUGGGGCGGUGCGGCGACCCACGCAGGAGCUCGCCGGAGCCGGGUGACGAUGGACGGGCGCGGGAGACAGAAGGAUCCGGCGCGGCGGCGCGCACUCCUUGUAGUUGGAGGCGGGCCUUCAUGGCCGUGGCGCCCCUCCCCCCGCGACAGCUCAGGCAGCGGUCAGAUCCGCCCUCCCUCCCUCCCUCACUCCUCGCACUGGAAGACCUAGCCGCUGGGCCAUGGUGACCGACGGCGAUGAUGACGGUGGUGGCUACCUCGACGAUGGAUAAAAUCCGCUCCGCCCCUCCUCUUAUCCGUCGACGACCGCUUGAAUCCCGAGAGGAGAGGAGAGGAGUGGGAGAUCCAUGGCGGCGGAAAGAUCCGCGCCUGGAUCGGACCUGCUCGUCAAGGAGACCCACGCCAUGGAGCUGCUCGUCAAUGUUCCACCCUGGCACACAUCCAACAUCGCCAUGGACCAGUAGCUCAAGCCGUCUUCUUCCAGAUGGUGAUGGAGUUCCCUCACCAUCUGCAGGUCAUCAUCCUUAAGGGCUCCACCAUCUGCAGUGUCUACAGUGGACUAUUUGCAUCUUCAGUGCAAAUACCUGAUUGUAUAUGGAUGGAUUGUAGGGUCUAACCACCUUGAUUUGAUUCGGGCUGGAGCAGCAGCAGCAGGUCCUUCCUUCCAUGGAGGGCAUCCACAACAUGACCCGCACAAGGAGCUCCAAGCAGACAAAGCACAGGUUUCUUUGUUUGUAAAUUAAGCAGUCUGGUAGAUUUGGAAAGGAGGAACAGGGUACUGAACUUUUAUAUAUCUGCACAAGGAAUACUAUGUUAUGUAAGAACAUGGCGGUGCAGUCACCCGAGGUGAAGAAGCUCUGUCACCUACCUCUACAUCCUCCACUAGGCUGACAAGCACAACUGCUAACAAGUAUGCUAAUCCACCCUCAUCUGCAUCGCUUCCUCCUAGCCUGUGAUUUAUGACAUGGAGCAUGUUGUUCUGUUAUCAUAUACACGAAUCUGUCCAUGCUUAAAUGUGGUCAUAGGUUGUGGAAUAGGAGAAACAAUAUAAUGUUCUUUAGCAGAUGCAAACCUGUCCAUGCCUUAUUUGGACCAAUAAUUACUGGUGUUGCCUAUUUGAUAUGUAAACAUAUUUUUUUGGAUGUCUCAGAAAAAUGCCAUGCUACUACAUAAGUUUGAAUCAAACAAAUUAAAUUUGUAAUAAGAUCCCUGAAAGUAAUUAAGUGCUUCUUGAAUGCAUGGAAACAACAAGUUAGAUAUCUCAGAGGUACUAUGUCAUAUAUUCUGAAAGUGGUGCACAUGGAUAUGUAUUCUUGGUUAGCUUUAUGUUCCAUUUCUGUUGUACAUGCUCCAAGAGUUAAUGUGUUAUUCUGAAAGGA
Long non-coding RNA from Triticum dicoccoides, 1538 nucleotides. RefSeq lists it as uncharacterized. The transcript has 5 exons. NCBI's taxonomy places the organism in Eukaryota, Viridiplantae, Streptophyta, Magnoliopsida, Poales, Poaceae. The record is from RefSeq and is a predicted model, not a curated record.